AUGAGUGUGGCGUCCAGGGGGUUUAGACGGCAAAGCCCCGCCAAGAGAAGAAGGGAGAUGCCGACCACAUCGAAUACCGUUGAGGGACCGAGUGGGAGGAGGAGGAAACACCGUUCACUGACUUCAGCCUCGUACUUGCCGUUGGAGGCUUUAAUAAGCCCGAGUGGAAGAGCUUUCAGGAAGGAUGAGUCGUGCCAGGGAAACAGCAAGUGUAACGCUUUGCCAUGUGAGAUGAUUCGAGAUACAGAUGCUGCCCAAUUUCUACCAUCUCAUUAAAUUUAUGAAGCAUUCUGGCAUACUGAGUUCUCAAUUGUUCGGGAGUAAGAUGAUUUUGUAUGAAAAUAGUCAAUUAUGGAUGCAAGAUAUGAAAAUACAGAUGCAUUCGAAGAUGAAUGUUGGAUAUUCUAGGCUGGCAACAAAAAGUCAUUUGAAAUGAUUAUUUCCAUCAGCUUGGCCUUGAAUCAAGAAAAUUGGCCUUUCCAGCAACUUCCCAGCCACAGUGAUAUUUGUUUUCAUCAGAAGCCCUACAGGAAUGAUUCAAAUUUGCAGAUUAGGGAUAAAUAAAUACAUUGUAUGAAAAGAAAAACA
Molecule: long non-coding RNA, 588 nt
Filed under: Vulpes vulpes (red fox)
Lineage: Eukaryota; Metazoa; Chordata; Mammalia; Carnivora; Canidae
Description: lncRNA (ENSVVUG00000000799.1)
Source: RNAcentral